GGUUGCGAUCAUACCAGCACUAAUGCACCGGAUCCCAUCAGAACUCCGCAGUUAAGCGUGCUUGGGCGAUAGUAGUACUAGGAUGGGUGACCCCCUGGGAAGUCCUCGUGUUGCAACCCC
Molecule: ribosomal RNA, 120 nt
Filed under: Helianthus annuus (common sunflower)
Lineage: Eukaryota; Viridiplantae; Streptophyta; Magnoliopsida; Asterales; Asteraceae
Also listed under: 1 other name
Source: RNAcentral